CGGGAAGUCAGCUUGCUGACUUUGCCGGCGACCGGCGCACGGGUGAGUAACACGUAUCCAACCUGCCGUCUACUCUUGGCCAGCCUUCUGAAAGGAAGAUUAAUCCAGGAUGGGAUCAUGAGUUCACAUGUCCGCAUGAUUAAAGGUAUUUUCCGGUAUGCGAUGGGGAUGCGUUCCAUUAGGCAGUUGGCGGGGUAACGGCCCACCUAGUCUUCGAUGGAUAGGGGUUCUGAGAGGAAGGUCCCCACAUUGGAACUGAGACACGGUCCAAACUCC
Molecule: ribosomal RNA, 276 nt
Filed under: uncultured Bacteroides sp.
Lineage: Bacteria; Pseudomonadati; Bacteroidota; Bacteroidia; Bacteroidales; Bacteroidaceae
Description: partial 16S ribosomal RNA
Rfam family: Bacterial small subunit ribosomal RNA
Source: RNAcentral